ACAGAACGUCUCCUCAAAAUCAAACCUGACUACACUCCCCUUCGUGUCUUUGGUUGUGCUUGCUGGCCCAACCUUCGCCCAUACAACACUAGGAAGCUUAUGUUCCGCUCUAAGCAAUGUGUGUUCUUAGGCUACAGUGCGCAACACAAAGGGGUUAAGUGUCUAGAUGUCUCCACCGGUCGUGUUUACAUCUCUCGCGAUGUAGUAUUUGAUGAAACUCUAUUUCCCUUCGACAAACUCCACCCCAACGCCGGUGCUCUUCUUCACAAAGAAAUCCUCCUCCUUCCUUCCCAUCUCUCUGGCGUUGAUCAUGGGGGUAAUGAUGAUUGUGGUGAUCAACGUUUAACUAAUACUCCUAAUCCUAUGCCUGAGCAUGUUGUGGCAGGA
RNAcentral lists this ribosomal RNA (387 nucleotides) under Triticum aestivum (bread wheat). RNAcentral's name for it is "partial small subunit ribosomal RNA". Lineage: Eukaryota; Viridiplantae; Streptophyta; Magnoliopsida; Poales; Poaceae. The record is from RNAcentral.